Molecule: ribosomal RNA, 481 nt
Filed under: uncultured bacterium
Lineage: Bacteria
Description: partial 16S ribosomal RNA
Rfam family: Bacterial small subunit ribosomal RNA
Source: RNAcentral
GACGAACGCUGGCGGCGUGCUUAACACAUGCAAGUCGAGCGGAAAGGCCACUUCGGUGGUACUCGAGCGGCGAACGGGUGAGUAACACGUGAGUAAUCUGCCCCUGGCUUUGGGAUAGCCACCGGAAACGGUGAUUAAUACCGGAUACGACCACUUCUCGCAUGGGAUGGUGGUGGAAAGUUUUUUCGGCCAGGGAUGUGCUCGCGGCCUAUCAGCUUGAUGGUGAGGUAAUGGCUCACCAUGGCUUCGACGGGUAGCCGGCCUGAGAGGGUGACCGGUCACACUGGGACUGAGACACGGCCCAGACUCCUACGGGAGGCAGCAGUGGGGAAUAUUGGACAAUGGGCGGAAGCCUGAUCCAGCAACGCCGCGUGAGGGAUGACGGCCUUCGGGUUGUAAACCUCUUUCAGCAGGGACGAAGCGCAAGUGACGGUACCUGCAGAAGAAGCACCGGCCAACUACGUGCCAGCAGCCGCGGUAU